This is a long non-coding RNA of Leucoraja erinaceus (little skate), 982 nucleotides long. RefSeq lists it as uncharacterized. The record is from RefSeq and is a predicted model, not a curated record. The transcript is spliced from 3 exons. Lineage: Eukaryota; Metazoa; Chordata; Chondrichthyes; Rajiformes; Rajidae.
ACUGCCAGUGUUGUCUGUAAACUAUAUUUACCUCGGGCAGAUGCAGGGGUUGAACUUGAUGAUGCCGUGCACUUUGGAGUUAAUCAGAGAGGAGGAACAAGGCUCUGCCAAGGCUGUGCUACCUGCUGAGUCUUCCCAGCAUUUUCUGUUUUUUUUCUGGAAUCUAUCUUCAUCCUGAAGACACUGCAGAAUAUGUCAUGUGGCAGGGAACAAACUCCAACGUUUUCUGCAUUGGAGGUUACAAAGAGCUCACAAACAAGCUUGAAGCAAGAGCACUGUCACCAAAGGAUUAUACGUGCAGGCAGAUGUCUCGUCUCCUUGUCCCUGUUGCCUCAUUGAAAUUCUUGUAGCUGAAUUAUUUCACAUUGUUCAGUGUAUUCAAAUAUUGGUGAGUAAGUUCAUGACCCUUCAUGCAAAUGCCGUAAGGCAUGUGAAGUGAAACAAUUUGUUGUCUUAUUCUCUGAUGCAUAUUUUGUUUGUAUGUAUCACUCUGUCUCAAAGGCUUCCAGUGUCCAUUAGUGAAAGAAAGUGACCGAUGGGUCUCUACAUUUUUUUCUUUUGUUGUGAGGGAGUCUCAUUUAUAUGACUGUCACUGCUAGAUAGUAGAGUACUUGUUCAAAACACUGACGUCAUAAGGCCAAGAAUAUUUGCAAAAAAGCUAGUGUUACCUCCUUGUUGAUCUGAUUAAACAUUACCAGUGGAAUAAGCAGUAUCUGAGAAAGUAUUUAAUCCAAAUGCAGUUAUUGUCAAUAGGCCACAUUAAAACAACCAUUUUGACAUGCCGAAUAGUUUAGUUGUUUAUAUAUUUUUGUGAAGUAUUAGAUUUUGAACAUUGGAUACAUUUAUCUGUGCAGUCUUAUCACAAUUUUUUCAGACAUGUAGUUUAAAGGUUCUUUAAUAGUAGAACGUUUAAUCCUACAAAUGUAAAUUCAAUGCUUUUUUCUUUUUAUUUGCCAUGUUUCCUUUUGAUACAGUUUUUGUA